UCGAGCGAACCGAAGGGAGCUUGCUCCUUUAGGGUUAGCGGCGGACGGGUGAGUAACACGUGGGCAACCUGCCCUGCAGACUGGGAUAACUUCGGGAAACCGGAGCUAAUACCGGAUAACACCGAAAACCGCAUGGUUUUCGGUUGAAAGGCGGCUUUUAGCUGUCACUGCAGGAUGGGCCCGCGGCGCAUUAGCUAGUUGGUGAGGUAACGGCUCACCAAGGCGACGAUGCGUAGCCGACCUGAGAGGGUGACCGGCCACACUGGGACUGAGACACGGCCCAGACUCC
This 289-nucleotide ribosomal RNA is filed under the name unidentified marine bacterioplankton. Its description in RNAcentral is "partial 16S ribosomal RNA". It matches the Rfam family "Bacterial small subunit ribosomal RNA", at positions 62 to 339 of the family's 1533-position model. The record is from RNAcentral.